UACAUAGGGUGCAAGCGUCGUCCGGAAUUAUUGGGCGUAAAGAGCUCGUAGGUUGUUUGUCGCGUCGAUUGUGAAAAUCUGAGGCUCAACCUCAAACCUGCAGUCGAUACGGGCAAACUAAAGUGUGGUAGGGGAGACUGGAAUUCCUGGUGUAGCGGUGGAAUGCGCAGAUAUCAGGAGGAACACCAAUGGCGAAGGCAGGUCUCUGGGCCAUAACUGACACUGAGGAGCGAAAGUGCGGGGAGCGAACAGGAUUAAAUACCCUGGUAGUCCGCACCGUAAACGGUGGGAACUAGUUGUGGGAACCUUCCACGGUUUCCGCGUCGCAGCAAACGCAUUAAGUGCCCCGCCUGGGGAGUACGAUCGCAAGAUUAAAACUCAAAGGAAUUGACGGGGCCCCGCACAAGCAGCGGAGCAUGCGGCUUAAUUCGACGCAACGCGAAGAACCUUACCAAGGCUUGACAUAUAGCGAAAAGUGGCAGAGAUGUCAUGUCCGCAAGGGCGCUAUACAGGUGGUGCAUGGUUGUCGUCAGCUCGUGUCGUGAGAUGUUGGGUUAAGUCCCGCAACGAGCGCAACCCUCGUUCUGUGUUACCAGCAUUCAGUUGGGGACUCACAGGAGACUGUCGGGGUCAACUCGGAGGAAGGUGGGGAUGACGUCAAAUCAUCAUGCCCCUUAUGUCCUGGGCUGCACGCAUGCUACAAUGGCCGGUACAAAGUGCUGCGAGAUCGUAAGAUUGAGCGAAUCACAUAAAGCCGGUCUCAGUUCGGAUUGAGGUCUGCAGCUCGACCUCAUGAAGUCGGAGUUGCUAGUAAUCGUAGAUCAGCAACGCUACGGUGAAUACGUUCCCGGGGCU
RNAcentral lists this ribosomal RNA (855 nucleotides) under uncultured bacterium. RNAcentral describes it as "SSU rRNA". It matches the Rfam family "Bacterial small subunit ribosomal RNA", at positions 524 to 1381 of the family's 1533-position model. The record is from RNAcentral.